RNAcentral lists this non-coding RNA (85 nucleotides) under Prorocentrum minimum. Lineage: Eukaryota; Dinophyceae; Prorocentrales; Prorocentraceae. The record is from RNAcentral.
AUUGGAGCGCCAACAUGAGGGGUAACAUGCAGCACAUAGAGGGUUCAUACGUGAAGACAAACAUCCCUUCCUUGAAGUUCAACGG